UGAAUGGAUUGAUCUCAUAUUCGGGUAUAAGCAGCGUGGCAAAGAAGCUAUAAUGGCAAAUAAUUUUUUCUUUUACAUUACCUAUGAAGGGACAAUGGAUAUUGAUAAGAUCUCAGACCCAGUACAACAGCGUGCAACACAGGACCAGAUUGCAUACUUUGGGCAAACGCCAUCCCAACUGCUUACCUUCCCUCACUUGAAGAGGUUGCCAUUAGCAGAUGUUCUUCAUUUACAGUGAUUCAUGAACAGUGGAAGGUGUCGUUUCUGUAACACGAAACCCAUCUUUUGGCUAUCCGCUGGCAUCUCUCUGAAGGUGUACUAUCUUAUGUGGGAUUGGGAUGAAAUUUUUAGCAUGGGGAUCGGUUAAUGGUAUCUAACAUACUACUAAGGCCGCUCCAUCAUCUGCUAGCUUGAGAAGUGAUGAAAGCGUCGAUAAAAGAGAGAAAUUGGCCGCAAAAUCCAAUGCGAAAGUAACAGAGAACACACUCCCAACCAAAGUCAAAGAAUUAUUGGCGAGAGUAUAAAAAAAGCAGCGGUUGUGGAUCCAAUUGAAUCUGACAAGGUUCUGAAAGCAGCCCAAGAACAUGGCGUCGGAACUGCGGUCCAGUGGCUGUAUAGAAGAAAAGGACAACGCAUGCUCUCUCUCUCUCUCUCUCUCUCUAUCAUAGUAGCUCCGUGUUCCUCUCCCCCCCCAAACCUAAUGGAUUCGGCCCAAUUCGGAGCUCCAGGUGAGAUAAUUUUCCCCAAAUUGUAUUCAAUCUAUGUUGCUUCAUUUCAUUUUCCAAUUUAAUUUGGAAUUGUUGAUAUUUUAGGCAGGUAUCACAUGUAUAACCACAACAAUUUUUGUGUUGGAUUGGGGUCAAAGUGUCUAGCUUUAUUAGCUAUUUGGUCACCUGUGUAUUUGUAAUCUGAAUAAUAUGAAUUAGGGCUUUUCUGGUAGUGUCCGAUUGGUCAAGAAAGGAUGCUUCUUUUUUGUUAUCAUGCAUAUUUAAGCUGUAAACAUCUGAAAAACUGCUUAAUUGAAGUGAGAUUUCCAGUUUUUGAGCUCAGUUUCAGGUCUUGAGCAUUGAA
Molecule: non-coding RNA, 1071 nt
Organism: Malus domestica (apple)
Lineage: Eukaryota; Viridiplantae; Streptophyta; Magnoliopsida; Rosales; Rosaceae
Source: RefSeq, a predicted model, not a curated record